Molecule: ribosomal RNA, 398 nt
Filed under: uncultured bacterium
Lineage: Bacteria
Description: partial 16S ribosomal RNA
Rfam family: Bacterial small subunit ribosomal RNA
Source: RNAcentral
AUACGUAGGGUGCGAGCGUUGUCCGGAAUUACUGGGCGUAAAGAGCUCGUAGGUGGUUUGUCGCGUCGUCUGUGAAAUUCCGGGGCUUAACUCCGGGCGUGCAGGCGAUACGGGCAUAACUUGAGUACUGUAGGGGAGACUGGAAUUCCUGGUGUAGCGGUGAAAUGCGCAGAUAUCAGGAGGAACACCGGUGGCGAAGGCGGGUCUCUGGGCAGUAACUGACGUUGAGGAGCGAAAGCAUGGGUAGCGAACAGGAUUAGAUCCCCUGGUAGUCCAUGCCGUAAACGGUGGGCGCUAGGUGUAGGGGUCUUCCACGACUUCUGUGCCGUAGCUAACGCAUUAAGCGCCCCGCCUGGGGAGUACGGCCGCAAGGCUAAAACUCAAAUGAAUUGACGGGG